AAAAGUAUACUUUCAGGGAUCAUUUCUAUAGUUUGUAACUAGAGAAGUGUGGUUGAAAGUGUCUCUCCUCAUGGCUCUUGCGCAAACUGCUUUUGUGAAAGGGUAGU
This 107-nucleotide small nucleolar RNA is filed under the name Gopherus evgoodei (Goodes thornscrub tortoise). Its description in RNAcentral is "Small nucleolar RNA U3 (ENSGEVG00005013273.1)". The stretch from base 1 to 73 matches the Rfam family "Small nucleolar RNA U3". From Rfam's summary of the family: Small nucleolar RNAs (snoRNAs) are involved in the processing and modification of rRNA in the nucleolus. There are two main classes of snoRNAs: the box C/D class, and the box H/ACA class. The record is from RNAcentral. Lineage: Eukaryota; Metazoa; Chordata; Testudines; Testudinidae.